UGUAUUCGUAGUUUGUCUCGUUGU
RNAcentral lists this non-coding RNA (24 nucleotides) under Arabidopsis thaliana (thale cress). The record is from RNAcentral. Lineage: Eukaryota; Viridiplantae; Streptophyta; Magnoliopsida; Brassicales; Brassicaceae.